CCCAAUACUCUCCCUCUUCCCCCAACUCUCCUCAAUACACUCCCUCUUCUCCCCAAUACUCUCCUUCUUCCCCACAGUACUCUGACAUGGAGUCAACAGGCUCCAAUUCUCCAUCUCCCUCUCUCUCGUAUUCUCCCCUCUCUCCGUCUCCCUACUCUCCCCAAAUGAGACUUUCUUCCGAUAGUUGUUGAAUUUUUAUUUUUCUAUUAAAUUAAUAUUCUUUUGUAAUUUUUUUUAUAGUUAGAAAAAUUUAAUGUUAGUUAUUUCAUAACAAUUUUUUCCUUGUAAUCAGUGCCAUUAUGAAUUUUAAUAAGAAUUAUUUCUUUUUUUUCUCUCUGUUGUUCACUUGCAGGGGUAUCAGCCUCUCGUGGAGGCAGACAUUAGGACGCCCAACGCGCUCGCAGAUCUCAUUGCAAAUGACGGAGCCGACCUCACAAACUGUCUUGGACUCCUUCUAAGCUAGCUGAUGAGCCUUUCUCUCCUUUUUGUUCACUACUCACAUACAUGUUGUAAAUAGGGUUGCGGAGCCAACUCAUUGUUGUCACAGUAUUGGACUCUUUUUUGGCUUUUUUGUAAAGGGAUUAUCUUACCUGUUAGGGUUAUCGUAGAUCCCAAAUUUUGUAAGGGACGCUAGACCCAACACUUGUAUUUACUUCUUUUUUUAUUCAUUGAAACAGUUAACUUUCUCAAAAAAAAAAUGAAAAAUUAAUGUGGUUUGUCUCUACAUUUUGCAAUCUACUGAAAUACAUGUUCUGAAAUUGAGUAUAAUUGGAAUUGUAGACAAGGAAAAUUGUCUAGAGCUUUGUUGUUUGUUUCUUACAUGAAUGUAUUCAGCAAAAAUGGACCAAGGUUUGCAAGCAAAUGAUACUUUAUCGUUGUUCGAUAAUUGUAUGACCUGUUUUCUGUUUUGGGCAUUCUGUUUGUGCCUUUAGCAGUGUGAUGUGGUUCAUAUAAUUUGCAUCCAGUGGAGCCCAUGCCAUAUAUUUGUGGUGACAAAAUUGAAAUUAAGCUUUUGUUGCUUACUUCAUCCUAUUUUGAAAUCUACAGGCUAGCAAAAUUUGUGGAACAAUCUUUGUUUUAGACUGAUGCUUUAUUUAUUUGUUUCAAGCUAUGCAAGAGCUCCAUUGAAAAAAUCAGUAGGGUGGUGCAAGAGUUAGAGUUUGAGAGAGAGAGAGAGAGAGCUCCAUUGAAGAAAAUCGGUUGGGUGGUGCAAGAGCUAGUGUUCAUAGGUCGAGUCGUGGUAAUGGCGCUCUCUCAAGCUGUCCCAGCCCUUGCUUUCUUCCAUGGCAAUUCAACUCAGACAGUAGAGUGGCGCCCUCCCCUCUCUUGGUUGUAGGUCACCUAUGGGAUGUAAAGAGUGUUGACUGGCACCCUACCAUCUUUGCUCGUUUCAGGUUUGGAUACAUGGUCACAGGAAUUGGGUGUUUUUUGUCAAAUGGAAUCAAAAUUGUAAUUGGGUGCUCACUUCUUCAAAAUAUCAGAUCAUUAAAGUCAGCAUCUUCUAUGCAGGCUUCCUUUUAUGAUACUAUGAAGGAGCUUGAAUCUUAUUGUGGACAUCGCAAGGAUGUAACUAGUUGUUGCUAGCCAAUGGAUAGGCAUGAAAAACCUCAUGAUGAAGUGAAUAAUGCACAUGAAAGCAGUGUGUGGGACCUUGCCUGGCAUCCUAUUGGUUAUAUCCAUUACAGGUGAUCACUGAUCUUGUUCUGAGUAGUUAAGCAAAAUGUGCUUCACCAUCUUUAACUUUUUCGCAUUAGGACUUCUUAUGUUUUACACAAUUAUAAUCAAUGAUGUAUUUUUUAUGGAAAACAAUUUAGCUUCCUUUGAUACUUCACCAUAUUGCCAUACUCUCAUUCUCACCAAGCCAAACUAACAUGGAUAUGGCAUAUUUGCUGUUAAAUCUUCUUCUUUAUACCUAAACCGAAUGGGGCUCUUUUAUUCUCAGUAGAACAUUUGAAAUUUUGAAUAAUUUAUUGGUCUGAUUGGAAUCUUGCACUUCCUGUUUAAAACAUGGAAUGACUAUAUAGUUCAAAAGAAAUGUCUAAUAGCUGAGAACAGGCUCUAAAGCAGAGUGGUCACAAUCUGCUUCUUUAUACUUAAAUAAAAAUGGAUUUAAGUAGAACAGGCUGAGAAUAGGCUCUAAAGCAGAGUGAUCAAAAUAGCUGAAAACAAGUUCUAAAGCAGAGUGGUCACAAUCUGCUUCUUUAUACUUAAAUCAAAAUAGAUUUGCUUUCUGCUCAGGAGAACAUUUGAAAAUUUUGAAUAAUUUAUUGGUCUGAUGGAAUCUUGCACUUCCUGUUUAAAAUGUAGAAUGACUAUAUAAUUAAAAAGAACAUGCUCUAAGCAGAAGUGGUCAGGGUGGUGAGUGCCACAACAUGGCAUCUAGAGUUCGAUUCUCACCAGGUUUCAAGUUAAUAUUAAAAAAUAAUGAAUGUUUAAUGACUGUAUUUAUGGGAAUCUCUGAAUUCUUUGUGAGUUUGCUGACCUUGUCAGUUAAUUGUAGUGAGCCAAUGCUGAACCAUAUUCGAUAAUCACUGAGUAUUGUGCAUUUUUCUUUCUAACAUAUUUUGUGGUUAAUUGUCAACUUCCUGUGGCAUGAAGCUUUAACUGUCCUUGCUUGAAGCUCUGUUCCAUAAUGGUAACUUAAUUCGCAGUCAUUUGAUAUAUUGCACUGGCAACAAUGACCACGCAACCAGGUUUUUGUGUAGAAAUUGAUCGGGAGAUACUUCUCGUGAGAAACAUGUUGCUCGUGAAAAACAUAUUGCUGGCUACAAUCAAGGUACCGGUGAUGCUGAUGUUCUUACAGCCGCCUAUCAAGCAAUUUCUCAUUACCAGAAGCCCCACCCGUAAGCAAUUGCACGUGAGCUUAUGUAUGUUGAAGUGUCUAAUAAUGGAAGACCUACCAAGGCUAUGAUAGACACCUUUCAAAAUUGGAGAGCAUGACAUACCUUUCAAAAAUACAAAAUAGAGGGCAUGAGAUGGGUAGGAAAGCAUGAGGAAUGAGGGAUGAAUUUAAGAUAUGUAGAACACCUUUUCUAAUGGCAACUAUGGCUUACUCUGCAACAUGUAUAUGCCCAAUGUAUAUGCCCAAGUUACGUUACUUCUUCCUUAAAAGCAUAAUAAUUGGUUUUUGAUGUGUAUUUUUACUUGAAAAAUACAAAUCCUAUUUUUUGCA
This is a non-coding RNA of Amborella trichopoda, 3172 nucleotides long. NCBI's taxonomy places the organism in Eukaryota, Viridiplantae, Streptophyta, Magnoliopsida, Amborellales, Amborellaceae. The record is from RefSeq and is a predicted model, not a curated record.